Long non-coding RNA from Cygnus olor (mute swan), 3955 nucleotides. RefSeq lists it as uncharacterized. The record is from RefSeq and is a predicted model, not a curated record. NCBI's taxonomy places the organism in Eukaryota, Metazoa, Chordata, Aves, Anseriformes, Anatidae. The transcript is spliced from 2 exons.
UGGUUGGUACAAAAGUGAUGGAUCUUUUUCCACCCUUUUAUGAGUUACAAAAAAAAAGUAUAAAGCACGGAUCAGGUUUUCCUCAAACCUCCCACCAAAAAAAUAAAAACCAAAGACACAUUCUUGACAGAUACAGAGCACCAAAAAUCAGCCUAAAAGGGAAAUGAAAACAAUCUUAAAAUCAACUCUCUUUGACAAUUAAAAUUUUCAGUCCCAGACAGUACCAUCUUUAGACUCAACUCACCUUGGUCUCAAAUCAUAUGAUAAUGUCACUAAUUGGAAAGAGUCCCAUAACAUCUGUAUUUUUACCACUUUACUUUUUUCUUUCAGUCAAAUUGCAUGACAAAGCUGUUAAAUGCCAGGAUUCUGGUGUUACCUGCUGUGUCUUAUGGACUUAGAUGUACUUUAGCAGCAGUAUUUCAGUACUAGGGUUUUGUAGAAUUAUGUUAAUUUUCAUACUGUGAAAAUCCGUAGACCAAUAUGAACAUAUACAUAUAUUUGUUCACACAUUUCUAUGGGAGAGAAUAUUUUACCUAUUCAGACUCUUUUCAUUCUUAUUUUUCAUAAACUGAGUAAUUUAAAUUGAAUCUGUUCAUGUAAAAUAUAUAUAUUGGUAUUUCCAUGCACAAAUCCUCUCAGAAAGUUUCUUGGCUAAAGUACAGAAUUUCUGGUCCAACCUGGGAGGAAAGAUGAAGAGGAGGAGGAAAAAAAGGAGCAAGGAUGAACAUCCCUCCUCUUCCUCCUGUAGCGGGUGAACAUCCACUACCCAUCUUGAGAUGAUGACUAUCUUGACUCAAACCAGACAUUCCUGUCAUCAAACUUGUCAGGAGUGCACCCAAAUACUGGAUGGUAGCUGGGAAGGACUAUGAAUUUCUUCUAAUGAUAUUAUCCUAUACUGUCAUUUGAGAGAAUUAUGCAUUGGCAUUGGGACCUCACUCUGCUUUCCCUGAGUCCCAGGUGAAAAUGCUUUCCUUCAGCUUUUUCCAGGCUUUUAAAUCUGUUCAUGGGAACAUUCCCAAGGUCUUGUGUUUGUCUGAUUGUAGAAUAUAAAACAUUUUGGACUCUUAAAAACUCUCUGGGGAGGCAAAAUAUUUCCCAUCCAGACCUAACACUUAUUUAUUUAUUUACUUUUACUUUUGUUUUAAAGGUAGCUAAGAGAUUGAUUACUCAGUCCUGAAAGUUGUAUUUUCAUGGAGUAAUUGAUGUACAAAUGUUAGCAGAUUAAACAAACUAGUCUUGUUAUAUUGGAAAGUGCCACAGAUAGCAGGCCUGUAAAUAGACUGGAAAGGAAAAAAGAUGAUGGGAAAUACCUGCCAUGAAAUUAAAUGUGUUUAAGUGCUUAAAUAGGAGGAACUGAUUUAUGUAAAACCAAGAAUGCUUUUUAGUCUUCCAGAGUAGUUUGGAGAUUCAGUCCUCAAGUGGAAGAAGUCCUAGAGGGCAGCUCUAAUGUGUCAGUAAGCAAAGCAUAAGGACCAGUGAUUAAGAAGGGAGACCGAGUGAGAAAUGGAGAGCGAUCUGAAGCUUGCACUCUGCUGUUCUCCUCUGUUUGAGUCAAAAUGAAGCUACUGCCUCUCCUGUACCCACCGCCUGCUGCUUGGGCUGCAUGAGCCUUAAGGAGGAACACAAAAGCUGGACUGCCUGGAGGUGGGAGCACCUUCCAGACUUGAUUCAGAUUAAGAAAUAAAUGAUGACUUGGAAACAAAACACGGGGCUUUUCAUGACAGGAGUGAAAAGGUAUAAAGACCUAAACUGUGUAUUUGUAGGAGAACAUAAUGGUCCUUGUCAUCGACGUGAUGUUGAAAGGAAUGACUUCCAUCUAGAGGAUGCAGGAAAAACAGGAGAUAAAUUUCAGUAGCAGUAACAGCUUAAUGGCAAAAGAUUGAAAAAGAGGAGGAAUAUGGAAAUUAGACGGCGAUGAUGUUCUAAGAAUUUAAAUGUGGCAUUUGGCAGCAGCAGCAUUGUUCAUGUAAAAACAAACAAGGCUAAUCAACAACAAAUGUAUUAUCCUUUUAAAAUAGACUUUAUUUAAUAACAAUAAAUAUAAAGAAAUCUUAAUGUUCAGAAACUAAUAGCAAACAUUCUUAGAAAAAAUACAAAAAAUACAUUCUUACAUUUUGAAUUUUUUCAACAUACAAAGAAUUUAAAACAGUGGCGAUGGUCUGCAAUUUGUGGUGCUCACGUCUUACUUUAAGGCAAUGAAAUGUUCACUGACACGGAUUCAUCUGUACAAGGUAAGAAUCUGGCCUACAUACAAAGUGUAAAAAGAGCAAAAUUGAUUCAUAGGUUAACAGUAAUGUUAAUUUUCCCUUCAAACAGAUCUUUAAACAUUAUUAAAGUGACCCAGUCUUGAAAAAAAAGUUACAAAUAGUAUUAUGUUGGCAGCUGCCCCCACCCCCUGAAGCACUUCAUUCCUAUGCCUCGGCAGAGCUCGCUGUGUAUGGGCAGUGCACAUUUCAGCAGAUGGAGGUAGAGGCUCCCUACGUUGCAUAGCUUUAGAGGUUUGGGCACUCUGUGCUGGGAGUAACACUGCACAUGGCAAAACAAAGUGAAUUCCUGAUAUAAUGCUUUCUGAAAGUGAAUGUUAUGGCUAUGUUAGCAAGUAGCAUGGCACUUGGGAAGCAAAACACAGAUGCUGACAUCAGUUGAAGCUGAUGCCCACCUAGUACUCUGGGCUCUCUUCAGGCUAGCUCUGGUUUCAGAGCUGUGAACUAAAAUGCCUGCCAGAGACUGUGAUAUGCAUAUCUAAGACCUGUCUUCUGGAUUGGUUUAAGACAAAAGGAAUCCAGUUCGUGAGCUCCAAGACCAGAUGUGAACCACCACUCAGAAAGUGGGGGCAAGUGGAAGAUGAGUUUCAAACAUACUCCUGAGCUGAACAAAAUGGUAAUGUAGAAACCCACCCAAGGCUCCCCAGGUCACGGCACUGAGCCUGCUGGAGUGAAAGAAGUGUUUGGACUAUGCUGUCAGAAAUAUGGUCUGAUUUUUGGUUGUGGCCAGGGGUUGGAUUUGAUGAUCCUUGAGGGUCUCUUCCAGCUCAGGGUAUGCCAUGAUUCUAUGAUUCUAGGUGGUUACAAUUUUAUUACAAGAGGAGCCCAAGCGAUAGGUACACAUACUUUGCUGGUGUAGCAUGCUUUUUUUUUUUUUUAAUAAUAAUUAUUUUAAAGGCUGGAAUAUAAACUCUCAGUGAUGUUGAGGACCAACUCCUCCUUCAGGAAAUGAGUGAUGUAAGAAGCCGCAAUUGAGAGAGGACACAAGGACAGGAAAAGGACCAGAAAACCAGGCACUCCUGAAAAUCAGUCUUAAACUCUGCCACUGUUCAGUGUGACCCCAGGCAAGGCACUUAAUUCUUUUGUCUCCCUGUCUCUUUAGCUGUCAAAGCAGGCAAUCAAAGUUUCCUUAAGAUCAAACAAUUAUCUGAAAUGGCCCAUUUCAUGACAUUUUAUUUUUAUUUUUUUCCCAUUAUCACGUGAUACCUCCUUGUUUGCCCUUGCCCUCCAACACUGCACCUGAGAGGGUGUUUAAGGCACUUUGAAACUGCGAUCCCCGAUGGGGAGAUGAAAAUGGCAUCUCUCAGCUGAACACUACUGUUGACAGGGAAAUGCCAGCCCAAAGCCGAAAUCAGAAGCUCCAAGCUUGCACAGAGCUGACUGGCCUUUCUAACAAAACUCAUAUAACACAGGAAAACCCUGAGUACUUCAUUAUACUGCCCAGUGACAGGACAAGAGGCAAGAGGCACAUGCUGAAACACAAGAAAUGCAAUCUGAACGUAAGAAAAAACUGUUUUACUGUGAGGGUGCCUGAGCCCUGGCACUGGCUGCCCAGAGAGGCUGUGGGGUCUCCUCCUGGGGGAUCCUCCAAAGUCACCUGGAAGUGGUCCUGGGCAGCCUGGUCUGGGUGUCCCUGCUUGGGCAGGGGCUGGGGCAGGUGGGCUUCUGAGGGUUCUGGGAUUCUGGGAAAA